GAUUUUUGAAUUCAGAUUCAGCCGUCUCUCAACUCUCACGUCUCCACGCCCUACCGUCUGCCUCCGGCGACCGGUGCCCCGUCCCACCGGCCAUCGGAGCCGGUGGAAUCUCCAGCGCUGCCGCGCCCAUCUCCCUCUGCACCCUCUUUUCUCUCUCUCUCACCUCUCUCCAGCGCCGCCGCGCCCGUCUGCCAGAAUCUUGCCACCCUCGACCUCUCCCAGAAUCUGCUCGUGAGCCCCCUCACGCCCUCCCUCUCCGAAGUCCGACCUCCCUUUCCUCAGGUAAGAAAAGGAAGAAGCAGACGCAAGUGACACAAUUCUCACACCCAAUUCAUUUAGAUAUUUCUUGUUCUUGAUUUUAAUUCAAGUUUUUUAAUUUUAUUCUUUUACUUUUGGUGAUUCGAAUCUAUUUGGCAACAUAUAUCUCUAGUUAUUUGCCUCCUCUUGAUUGAGUCUUCAGGAACUGGGUAGCAGUUUGCUCCAAAUGCUUCACAAAUUUUGUAGAUUUUUUCCUUGCUUGCUGGCCUGAGAAGAAUACCAUAAAAACUCUGUUCUCAACCUGCAGAUGCGGAGGAACAUAUCAGUAUUGAAAACAUGUAAAUAUGUAAUGCCUCAUCAACAAAGUGAUCCCGAUUCCCGACACUGCAAAAGUGCAUAAAUGAUUUUAAUUCUAAAAUAAUAGAACCAAUUAGUUUAGAAUACAUGUGCUUGGUCAUGGGAAAUAGAUAGUACAUCUUUUAACUCUUGGAGUGGUACUUCAGCUUCUUCUGAUUUGCUAACUAAUUGAACUCAGUAUUUAAAUAAGAAAAGGUAGAUACUAUUGUGAAGUUUUCAGCUUCAUCUACAUAGUUCUUUGGUGCUGGCAGAUGAUAUAUAUUGUGCAG
This 884-nucleotide long non-coding RNA is filed under the name Salvia miltiorrhiza (redroot sage). RNAcentral describes it as "long non-coding RNA (SMIL_LNC008430)". Lineage: Eukaryota; Viridiplantae; Streptophyta; Magnoliopsida; Lamiales; Lamiaceae. The record is from RNAcentral.